GGGAAGCGGCGAACGGGUGAGUAACACUUAGGUGAUCUGCCCAUCAGACGGGGACAACGAUUGGAAACGAUCGCUAAUACCGGAUAGGACGAAAGUUUAAAGAUGCUCCUGGCAUCACUGAUGGAUGAGCCUGCGGCGCAUUAGCUAGUUGGUGGGGUAAAGGCCUACCAAGGCGACGAUGCGUAGCCGACCUGAGAGGGUGAACGGCCACACUGGGACUGAGACACGGCCCAGACUCCUACGGGAGGCAGCAGUAGGGAAUCUUCGGCAAUGGGCGAAAGCCUGACCGAGCAGCGCCGCGUGAAUGAAGAAGGCCUUCGGGUUGUAAAAUUCUGUUAUAAGGGAAGAAAGGUGAUAGGAGGAAAUGACUAUCAAUUGACGGUACCUUAUGAGAAAGCCACGGCUAACUACGUGCCAGCAGCCGCGGUAAUACGUAGGUGGCAAGCGUUAUCCGGAAUUAUUGGGCGUAAAGAGCGCGCAGGUGGUUAAUUAAGUCUGAUGUGAAAGCCCACGGCUUAACCGUGGAGGGUCAUUGGAAACUGGUUGACUUGAGUGC
RNAcentral lists this ribosomal RNA (556 nucleotides) under uncultured bacterium. Its description in RNAcentral is "bacterial SSU rRNA". It matches the Rfam family "Bacterial small subunit ribosomal RNA", at positions 90 to 649 of the family's 1533-position model. The record is from RNAcentral.